ACCUCUACAGCAUCAGGGUCUCCUGUGGCAUCAUCAAAAUCAUUUGCAUAUCUCCAAUUAAGCUGCCUUUAUCCCUUUUCUUUUUAAUUUUGGGUGAGAUAUGAAAGAGAGAGUCAAAUUCAACGCAUUUCUAAAAGGUGGAAUAUAAGUCAGAGCUAUUUUCUUCUCUUAAGUUUCAGUAAAGGGUUUUAUUUAUUCAUUAAUUCUACCCAGGGGUAAAAGAAGAUAUUGACAAAAAAAGGAAAAGAGAAACCCCCUUCUAAAUCAAAAAGAUCUGUCACUCUGCUCAUUUCAUACCUUUCAGAACAUUAUCCUUUUUA
Molecule: unclassified non-coding RNA, 320 nt
Filed under: Hevea brasiliensis (rubber tree)
Lineage: Eukaryota; Viridiplantae; Streptophyta; Magnoliopsida; Malpighiales; Euphorbiaceae
Source: RNAcentral